GCAGAACUGAAACUGGUUGGAAAUGGUGCUUCUCCCUUCUCCACUCCGGCUUUAGCUCUCAGCCUUGGGGGUGGGCAUAUGGCCUUGGAUGCAGUAACUAUCCCAACACACAAAGAUGAAGAGGCACUUGGUCCUGAAACUCUGAGUGAAGUUUGGUUUAAAGAAAAUGGACUGGUUUGGCAGAGAAAAUAUCAGAAUGAGAGCACUUCUCAGCCAAUUUUAAAAGGCAGCUGUAAUUAAUAGAGACAUCAGCACCUCUGACAUGAAAUUCCUGCACUGCACUGAGAGAAUGGAAACAUAUCCUGAGGGCAAAACCCUGCCCUCAGAGGAGGCUUCAUCUCUAAAGAUUCAAAUUCAUUUCAAGGAAGAAAGCAGAAGUGGAAAGGUUCACUGUUUUCAGGAGCAACUGCUCAUGAAAGCGUUCCCUACAGGCAUCACGCAGACACUGAUACAGCUGGGUCCAAGGCUGACUCGGAUAAGCUGCCACUGUGUGCCAAAUGUGCAAGCUGCUUGGAGUGAUACUAAGCCCCCGAUGUAGCACCAUUCCCUCGGGAUGAUGAGCCAGCGACCACAUCCAUCAGGACCUUAUACUCUGCUGGCUUAGAAGUUAUUGUUCCAGAGUGCUUCUGCCAGGAGAUACAACAAACAUUGCAUUGAGCUAGACGCUAAGACACGCCCACCCCCCACAAGCUUAUGUUGGGUUUCUGAUGAUCUUAACCCAACAGGCUAAAAUAGGAGUAACAGUGUUAGAAGGGAUGACUGAUCCAGACUACCAGAGGCAAACUGGAUUGCUUCUCCACAAGAAGAUUGUCUGAAGUGUAGGAGGAGAUCCUUUAGGGCAGUGCUUCUCAACCUUCCUGAUGCUGCCGCCCUUUAAUGCAAGUUCCUCAUGUUGUGAUAACCCCAACCAGAAAAUUAUGUUGUUGCUACUUCAUAACUGCAGUUUUGUUGUUAUGAAUAGCAAUGUGAAUGUCUGACAUGCAGAAUAUCUGAUAGUCGACCCCCAAAGAGGUCAGGACCCCCACAGGCUGAGAACUGCGGCUUUAGGGCAUCUCCUGGUGUUACCAGGCCAUGUGAUUGAGGUCAAUGGGAAAUUGCAACAAUUCAAUCCAGGCAAGGUGACGAAUGACCUAGACCCCUCAGGGAUGCAUAUAUGGGUCACCCCUCCAGGACAGAAUACAGAAUGGGGAGUAGAGGAAGGUAGCUAUAAAUACCAGCCAUGGCCAUGCGACUAGUUUCAGAAAUGAGGAUUAUAAUUUAGCCUGUCCUUGAGGGAAGUCAAGGCAGGAAUCUGGAGCCAGAAACUGAAGCAGAGGAAGAAUGUUGCUUACAUGACUCAGACUAUUUUUUAUACCUCCCAGGGUCACCUGCCCAGGGGUGGCACUGACUGCCAGGGGAUGGCUCUGCUCACAAAGGCUGGGCCCUUCUUUCCACAUUGGUCAUUAACCAAGAAAAUGGCUCACAGACCAAACUGAUGGAGGCAUUUUCUCCGUUGAGGUUCCCUCCUCCCAGAUGACCUUAGCAAGUGUUAAGCUGAAAAAAAAAAAAAACUAACAUACACAAACAUAUUUGUGCUUAAUACACAAAUGUUAAGC
Non-coding RNA from Cricetulus griseus (Chinese hamster), 1595 nucleotides. The record is from RefSeq and is a predicted model, not a curated record. Lineage: Eukaryota; Metazoa; Chordata; Mammalia; Rodentia; Cricetidae.